This 614-nucleotide ribosomal RNA is filed under the name Moesziomyces sp. RNAcentral describes it as "eukaryotic LSU rRNA". It matches the Rfam family "Eukaryotic large subunit ribosomal RNA", at positions 62 to 657 of the family's 3401-position model. Lineage: Eukaryota; Fungi; Basidiomycota; Ustilaginomycetes; Ustilaginales; Ustilaginaceae. The record is from RNAcentral.
AAACUAACAAGGAUUCCCCUAGUAACGGCGAGUGAAGAGGGAAGAGCCCAAGAUUGAAAGCUGGCGCCUUCGGCGUCCGCAUUGUAAUCUCAAGAAGUGUUUUCCGCUUCGGACCAAGCCUAAGUCCCUUGGAAAAGGGCAUCAUAGAGGGUGAUAAUCCCGUACAUGGCUUGGAGCGCCCGAAGCUUUGUGAUACGCUUUCUAAGAGUCCAGUUGUUUGGGAAUGCAGCUCAAAAUGGGUGGUAAAUGCCAUCUAAGGCUAAAUAUUGGGGAGAGACCGAUAGCGAACAAGUACAGUGAUGGAAAGAUGAAAAGAACUUUGAAAAGAGAGUUAAACAGUACGUGAAAUUGCCAAAAGGGAAGGGUAGGAGGUCAGAGAUGCGGCCUGGGAUUCAGCCUUGCUUUUGCUUGGUGUUUUUCCCAGAUUGCAGGCCAACGUCGGUUUUGGGCACUGGAGAAGGGUAGGAGGAACGUGGCACCUCUCGGGGUGUGUUAUAGCCUCCUACUGGAUACAGCGACCGAGACCGAGGACAGCAGCGUACUCGCAAGAGCGGGCCUUCGGGCACCUUUACGCUUAGGGCGUUGGCAUAAUGGCCCUCUACCACCCGUCUUGA